Molecule: long non-coding RNA, 131 nt
Organism: Chanos chanos (milkfish)
Lineage: Eukaryota; Metazoa; Chordata; Actinopteri; Gonorynchiformes; Chanidae
Exons: 3
Source: RefSeq, a predicted model, not a curated record
CCAACCAGCACUCCACCUAGGACAACAAGGGAUGCACCAUUUACAGCUCCACCGCCAACCCCUGGCAGUGAAUGUCUGGACAUCUUUUGUAGUUCAGCUACCAACAUGGUCCCAUCCGCUGUGAUGCUCCU